This 1002-nucleotide ribosomal RNA is filed under the name uncultured archaeon. Its description in RNAcentral is "bacterial SSU rRNA". It matches the Rfam family "Archaeal small subunit ribosomal RNA", at positions 405 to 1408 of the family's 1478-position model. The record is from RNAcentral.
CGCUUUUCUGUACCGUAAAGGUGGUACAGGAACAAGUGCUGGGCAAGACCGGUGCCAGCCGCCGCGGUAAUACCGGCAGCACGAGUGAUGGCCGCUAUUAUUGGGCCUAAAGCGUCCGUAGCCGGCCGAGCAAGUUCGUUGGGAAAUCUGCCCGCUUAACGGGCAGGCGUCCGGCGAAAACUGUUCGGCUUGGGGCCGGGAGAUCUGAGGGGUACGUCCGGGGUAGGAGUGAAAUCCCGUAAUCCUGGACGGACCACCGGUGGCGAAAGCGCCUCAGAAAAACGGACCCGACGGUGAGGGACGAAAGCUAGGGUCUCGAACCGGAUUAGAUACCCGGGUAGUCCUAGCCGUAAACGAUGCUCGCUAGGUGUGGCGCAGGCUACGAGCCUGCGCUGUGCCGUAGGGAAGCCGUGAAGCGAGCCGCCUGGGAAGUACGUCUGCAAGGAUGAAACUUAAAGGAAUUGGCGGGGGAGCACUACAACCGGAGGAGCCUGCGGUUUAAUUGGACUCAACGCCGGACAUCUCACCAGCACCGACAGUGUGCAGUGAAGGUCAGGUUGAUGACCUUACUGGAGCCACUGAGAGGAGGUGCAUGGCCGCCGUCAGCUCGUACCGUGAGGCGUCCUGUUAAGUCAGGCAACGAGCGAGACCCGCAUCCCUAGUUGCCAGCAGCAACCUUGCGUUGGCUGGGUACACUAGGGAGACUGCCGCUGCCAAAGCGGAGGAAGGAACGGGCAACGGUAGGUCAGUAUGCCCCGAAUGUGCUGGGCAACACGCGGGCUACAAUGGCCGGGACAGUGGGACGCGACCCCGAGAGGGAGAGCUAAUCUCCUAAACCCGGUCGUAGUUCGGAUUGCGGACUGAAACUCGUCCGCAUGAAGCUGGAUUCGGUAGUAGUCGCGUGUCAUUAGCGCGCGGCGAAUACGUCCCUGCUCCUUGCACACACCGCCCGUCAAAGCACCCGAGUGAGGUCCGGAUGAGGCCGCCAUGCGGUGGUCGAAU